CCUACGGGAGGCAGCAGUGGGGAAUUUUGGACAAUGGGCGAAAGCCUGAUCCAGCCAUGCCGCGUGAGUGAAGAAGGCCUUCGGGUUGUAAAGCUCUUUCAGACGGAAAGAAAUCGCAUCUUCUAAUACAGGGUGUGGAUGACGGUACCGUAAGAAGAAGCACCGGCUAACUACGUGCCAGCAGCCGCGGUAAUACGUACGGUGCAAGCGUUAAUCGGAAUUACUGGGCGUAGAGCGUGCGCAGGCGGUCUUGUAAGACAGGCGUGAAAUCCCCGGGCUCAACCUGGGAAUUGCGCUUGUGACUGCAAGGCUGGAGUGCGGCAGAGGGGGAUGGAAUUCCGCGUGUAGCAGUGAAAUGCGUAGAUAUGCGGAGGAACACCGAUGGCGAAGGCAAUCCCCUGGGCCUGCACUGACGCUCAUGCACGAAAGCGUGGGGAGCAAACAGGAUUAGAUACCCUAGUAGUCCACGCCCUAAACGAUGUCAACUGGUUGUUGGGUAUUUACUUACUCAGAAACGAAGCUAACGCGUGAAGUUGACCGCCUGGGGAGUACGGCCGCAAGGUUGAAACUCAAAUGAAUUGACGG
This 585-nucleotide ribosomal RNA is filed under the name uncultured bacterium. Its description in RNAcentral is "bacterial SSU rRNA". It matches the Rfam family "Bacterial small subunit ribosomal RNA", at positions 338 to 916 of the family's 1533-position model. The record is from RNAcentral.